CCUGGUGGUGCACGUCCCCAACCUUAUGUGGAUUUCCUAAAUUCUGCAAAAAAGGUUUGGAAGCUGAUCAAUCAAUACUGGAACUCCCUCUUCUCCAGAAGAGACAUCCUGGCCUCCAUGCAGAGGAAUGUGUGGAUGGACAUAUAUUUAAGGAAGACACUAAACCAGAAAAUACUACAUUACACCCUCUUAAAAGACUUCUAAGAUUGUUGUCAUGCCUACCACUGACAUUCAGAUGAUGUGUAUUGUUGAUUGUGAUUUCAUGUUUGGAUCUGGUGAAGGAGUUUGAAGUCUCCAGAGCAGCAAAGAGAGUGGGGAGUAGAACUCAUCAUCUUUAGGUCACUCAUCAUCG
RNAcentral lists this long non-coding RNA (352 nucleotides) under Mus musculus (house mouse). RNAcentral describes it as "predicted gene 28565". The record is from RNAcentral. Lineage: Eukaryota; Metazoa; Chordata; Mammalia; Rodentia; Muridae.